Molecule: ribosomal RNA, 396 nt
Filed under: uncultured Cellulomonas sp.
Lineage: Bacteria; Bacillati; Actinomycetota; Actinomycetes; Micrococcales; Cellulomonadaceae
Description: bacterial SSU rRNA
Rfam family: Bacterial small subunit ribosomal RNA
Source: RNAcentral
UGCAGCGACGCCGCGUGAGGGAUGACGGCCUUCGGGUUGUAAACCUCUUUCAGCAGGGGAGAAGCGCAAGUGACGGUACCUGCAGAAGAAGCGCCGGCUAACUACGUGCCAGCAGCCGCGGUAAUACGUAGGGCGCAAGCGUUGUCCGGAAUUAUUGGGCGUAAAGAGCUCGUAGGCGGUUUGUCGCGUCUGCUGUGAAAACCUGAGGCUCAACCUCGGGCUUGCAGUGGGUACGGGCAGACUAGAGUGCGGUAGGGGUGACUGGAAUUCCUGGUGUAGCGGUGGAAUGCGCAGAUAUCAGGAGGAACACCGAUGGCGAAGGCAGGUCACUGGGCCGCAACUGACGCUGAGGAGCGAAAGCAUGGGGAGCGAACAGGAUUAGAUACCCUGGUAGUC